Molecule: long non-coding RNA, 250 nt
Organism: Labeo rohita (rohu)
Lineage: Eukaryota; Metazoa; Chordata; Actinopteri; Cypriniformes; Cyprinidae
Exons: 3
Source: RefSeq, a predicted model, not a curated record
CCGGAAGGAUGCAUUGACGUCAAAUUUUUUUCUGGACUCUGACAGCGUGUCUGACACACGGUGAUAGAAAAUCACCAAAACAGAGAAGAAAGAAACUCAUACAUGUUUGGACUGAUGUCAUGAUCAGCGCUUGAGGUCAAACGUGUCAGAAACACAAAGGUCAUCGACUGACAUCUUGAGUUCAAGGACUGAUUCUGACCUCUGUGACCUUCCAGGAGCCUGCGGUCGAUGGAUGAAUGACGCUGCAUUG